Long non-coding RNA from Carya illinoinensis, 819 nucleotides. RefSeq lists it as uncharacterized. The transcript has 2 exons. The record is from RefSeq and is a predicted model, not a curated record. Lineage: Eukaryota; Viridiplantae; Streptophyta; Magnoliopsida; Fagales; Juglandaceae.
GCCAUCAUUUCCUCUUAAUCAUGUAGUUGUAAUUAAGGUGCUUCAACUAGGCAUGUGAAGAAAAACCAAGGACCCAGUCUAUCAGAAUGACCCGACCCGACCCGACUUGCCCGAUGAAAAGGGUUUUGGACGGACUUUCAGAUUGAACCCGUUAAAACACCAGUUUCAACCCUACUAACAUUUAAAAAAAAAAAAAAAAAAAAAAACCACUUCUACUUAAGCUUGCAGAUCAACCCUAGCUGAUAGCCCUCCCCAUUCCCAUCGUCAUCUCAUCGCCUCCAUUCUUCAUCUCAUUGCCUUUGUUCGUCGUCACCUCCAUUUCUCGUAGCCUUCUUUCUCCUCUGUUUAUCACUGGCUUAUUCCUUCCCCUCAAUUUGUUGCCGGCUUAUUCCGUCUCAUAUUGUCGUUCGAUCUUUGGGGGAGCUUGCACAUCCCGAUGUUCUCAAAACAGCUAUGCAUAUGGGUUGGUGGAGGCAGUCCUGGCUCACGGGUUCUAAAUUUUUGUGGAGGGCAAGAUAAAAGGGAAUCGGAGGAAGAGCUUUAGGUGGAUCAAAAAAUUAUACACUCAAGUGAUGGAUGGAUGACGGUGACAGAUGGGAUUGCUAAUGUUUUCCACUCUUUCUUUUGGGGAGUAAGCUAAAGAGAUGCAAUCACUUCUUUUGUGGGGGCAAAAUCUCUUUCCAACCUGGAUUAUGAUCAUGAAUUUUGGGUUAAAUUAUAAUUUAAAAUAAUUUAAUUUUAUGUUUGUGAGAUCACGGGUAAAAGAGUUGAUAAUGGUGUAAUAAUUAGUAAUAAUGAGUUGAUAUGUUUGUAAAUUAA